UGUUGAGCUGCCAUCUUUUCAGAGGUGUUGAAACUGCUGCUGCACCACCUGUCCAGGUAGGCGAGGGUCCCUUUUCCUUUGAGGAGGUGUCCAUCUAUUUCACGGAGGCAGAAUGGGCCCUGCUGGAUCCAGGACAAAGAGCUCUGUACAAGGAUGUUAUGUUGGAGAAUUACGGGAAUGUGGCCUUUCUGGCAAAAGAUGAUCAGAGGAAUGAGGAGGGUGAGGAAUUUCAUCAGCAAAUGCCAGAGAGAGAUAAAAAUGAAACCUUAAAGGAAAACGUCACGAAUCGAAGCAGAGCAAAGAGAAAUAAAGGUGGCAGUAUGGUUGAGAAACGAGAUGGAAGAGAGCAUAAUGCACAUUUUCCAAAGCACAGGAUAAUGAAGGCAAGUCAAUCCAUUCAUUGUGAAAACUACAUUGGAAAUAGAUCAAAGCUUCUUGGGCACCAAAGAACCCACACAGGGGAGAAAUCUUUUGA
Long non-coding RNA from Heteronotia binoei (common prickly gecko), 475 nucleotides. RefSeq lists it as uncharacterized. NCBI's taxonomy places the organism in Eukaryota, Metazoa, Chordata, Lepidosauria, Squamata, Gekkonidae. The transcript is spliced from 3 exons. The record is from RefSeq and is a predicted model, not a curated record.